GACGAACGCUGGCGGCGUGCCUAACACAUGCAAGUCGAACGGAAAGGCCCUGCUUUUGUGGGGUGCUCGAGUGGCGAACGGGUGAGUAACACGUGAGUAACCUGCCCUUGACUUUGGGAUAACUUCAGGAAACUGGGGCUAAUACCGGAUAGCAGCUCCUGCUGCAUGGUGGGGGUUGGAAAGUUUCGGCGGUUGGGGAUGGACUCGCGGCUUACCAGCUUGUUGGUGGGGUAGUGGCUUACCAAGGCUUUGACGGGUAGCCGGCCUGAGAGGGUGACCGGCGACAUUGGGACUGAGGUACGGCCCAGACUCCUACGGGAGGCAGCAGUGGGGAAUAUGGCACAAUGGGCGGGAGCCUGAGGCGGCAACGCCGCGUGCGUGAAGACGGCCUUCGGGUUGUAAACCGCUUUCGCCUGUGACGAAGCGGGAGUGACGGUAAUGGGUAAAGAAGCACCGGCUAACUACGUG
This 468-nucleotide ribosomal RNA is filed under the name uncultured bacterium. RNAcentral's name for it is "partial 16S ribosomal RNA". It matches the Rfam family "Bacterial small subunit ribosomal RNA", at positions 28 to 507 of the family's 1533-position model. The record is from RNAcentral.